AGGCAGCAAAUGGCCAGAGUUCAUACAGAGGGAUGAGUGCACUUCACCUGCAAUGUGACUCAGCAGGCCAACAGAUGCUA
Molecule: microRNA precursor, 80 nt
Organism: Cercocebus atys (sooty mangabey)
Lineage: Eukaryota; Metazoa; Chordata; Mammalia; Primates; Cercopithecidae
Source: Ensembl